RNAcentral lists this ribosomal RNA (756 nucleotides) under uncultured bacterium. RNAcentral describes it as "bacterial SSU rRNA". It matches the Rfam family "Bacterial small subunit ribosomal RNA", at positions 8 to 796 of the family's 1533-position model. The record is from RNAcentral.
AGAGUUUGAUCCUGGCUCAGAAUCAACGCUGGCGGCGUGCCUAACACAUGCAAGUCGCACGAGAAAGGGGAGCAAUCCAUGAGUACAGUGGCGUACGGGUGAGUAACACGUGGAUAACCUGCCCUUUAGUGGGGAAUACCGAUGGGAAACCGUCGACAAUACCGCAUAAGCUCGAGAGAGGAAAGCAGCAAUGCGCUGAAGGAGGGGUCCGCGGUCGAUUAGCUAGUUGGUAGGGUAAUGGCCUACCAAGGCUGUGAUCGAUAGCCGGCCUGAGAGGGCACACGGCCACACUGGCACUGAAACACGGGCCAGACUCCUACGGGAGGCAGCAGUGGGGAAUCUUGCACAAUGGGGGCAACCCUGAUGCAGCGACGCCGCGUGAGCGAUGAAGCCCUUCGGGGUGUAAAGCUCUUUCGGCAGGGAAGAUUAUGACGGUACCUGCAGAAGCAGCUGCGGCUAACUACGUGCCAGCAGCCGCGGUAAUACGUAGGCAGCAAGCGUUGUUCGGAGUUACUGGGCGUAAAGGGUGCGUAGGCGGUUCUGUAAGUAUGGUGUGAAAUCUCCCGGCUUAACUGGGAGGGUGCGCUAUAAACUGCGGGACUAGAGUGUGGGAGAGGAAAGUGGAAUUCCUGGUGUAGCGGUGAAAUGCGUAGAUAUCAGGAGGAACACCGGUGGUGUAAACGGCUUUCUGGACCAUAACUGACGCUGAGGCACGAAAGCGUGGGUAGCAAACAGGAUUAGAUACCCUAGUAGUCC